UACGGAGGGUGCAAGCGUUAUCCGGAUUUACUGGGUUUAAAGGGUGCGUAGGUGGGCAUGUAAGUCAGUGGUGAAAUCUCCGUGCUUAACACGGAAACUGCCAUUGAUACUAUGUUUCUUGAAUUUUCUGGAGGUUAGCGGAAUAUGUCAUGUAGCGGUGAAAUGCUUAGAUAUGACAUAGAACACCGAUUGCGAAGGCAGCUAACUACAGGGAUAUUGACACUGAGGCACGAAAGCGUGGGGAUCAAACAGG
RNAcentral lists this ribosomal RNA (253 nucleotides) under uncultured bacterium. RNAcentral describes it as "partial 16S ribosomal RNA". It matches the Rfam family "Bacterial small subunit ribosomal RNA", at positions 524 to 776 of the family's 1533-position model. The record is from RNAcentral.